UAAUUCCCGAAGGACUCGACACCAGCGCCAGGUGCUUGAAGCGGUCUUUUGUCAUUGAAAGGGUCGACUGGCCCAGCAUCAUGCAGCCGAUCUUUCGUAACUGCGGCAUUAAGACGACCGACCCAUUGCCAGUCGUUCGGCCACACACCCGGUGUUAGAGAUAGAUGAAUGUGUUCUUAUAUUUAUCGUUCAUCGUAUGCAUGCCUUUGAAAUCAUUGAUGAAGCAAUUAAAUUCAAAUAUUUCCAGUUGGUCGAA
Molecule: long non-coding RNA, 256 nt
Organism: Branchiostoma floridae (Florida lancelet)
Lineage: Eukaryota; Metazoa; Chordata; Leptocardii; Amphioxiformes; Branchiostomatidae
Exons: 2
Source: RefSeq, a predicted model, not a curated record